GGACCUGUGGCGUAAUGGUAACGCGUCUGAUUCCAGCUGAUGGAAUAUCCAGAAGAGUGUGUGUUCGAGUCACAUCAGGUUCA
Non-coding RNA from Lineolata rhizophorae, 83 nucleotides. The record is from the annotation of a GenBank genome assembly. NCBI's taxonomy places the organism in Eukaryota, Fungi, Ascomycota, Dothideomycetes, Lineolatales, Lineolataceae.